RNAcentral lists this ribosomal RNA (543 nucleotides) under uncultured Atopobium sp. RNAcentral's name for it is "bacterial SSU rRNA". It matches the Rfam family "Bacterial small subunit ribosomal RNA", at positions 803 to 1351 of the family's 1533-position model. The record is from RNAcentral. Lineage: Bacteria; Bacillati; Actinomycetota; Coriobacteriia; Coriobacteriales; Atopobiaceae.
UAAACGAUGGAUACUAGGUGUUGUCUGUAUCGACCCGGACAGUGCCGUAGCUAACGCGUUAAGUAUCCCGCCUGGGGAGUACGCACGCAAGUGUGAAACUCAAAGGAAUUGACGGGGGCCCGCACAAGCAGCGGAGCAUGUGGUUUAAUUCGAAGCAACGCGAAGAACCUUACCAGGGCUUGACAUUUAGGUGAAGCGGCGGAAACGUCGUGGCCGAAAGGAGCCUAAACAGGUGGUGCAUGGCUGUCGUCAGCUCGUGUCGUGAGAUGUUAGGUUAAGUCCUGCAACGAGCGCAACCCUCGUCGUAUGUUGCCAGCGGUUAGGCCGGGCACCCAUACGAGACCGCCGGCGUCAAGCCGGAGGAAGGUGGGGACGACGUCAAGUCAUCAUGCCCCUUAUGUCCUGGGCUACACACGUGCUACAAUGGCCGGCACAAUGGGCUGCCAACCCGCGAGGGUGAGCGAAUCCCUAAAGCCGGUCCCAGUUCGGAUUGGAGGCUGCAACCCGCUCCAUGAAGUCGGAGUUGCUAGUAAUCGCGGAUCG